This is a long non-coding RNA of Nicotiana attenuata, 3309 nucleotides long. RefSeq lists it as uncharacterized. Lineage: Eukaryota; Viridiplantae; Streptophyta; Magnoliopsida; Solanales; Solanaceae. The record is from RefSeq and is a predicted model, not a curated record. The transcript is spliced from 2 exons.
CGUAGAGCACUUGAUUUAUUGUUUAGGUAAGGGCCGCCCCUGGAGGCGGUCAGUCGGUGAAAUCAUGUACACAAAAUUCAAAAACCAUAUAUAGAGAGAGAAAUGGCGACUGCUAGAAAGAGUGCAUCGGCCAUGGAGGCAUUCGUGAAGCUUGAGAAUGUAGGGGAGGGGACUUACGGAAAGGUGUAGAAAGCGAGAAAUAGGGUUACUGGCGAACUACUGAAGAAGACGAAGCUUCCCGAGGACGAGCAAGGUGUUGCUACCACUACUCUCCGCGAGAUCUCUCUUCUGCGGAUGCUCUCUAACGGUUCUCACAUUGUCAAACUGAUGGAUGUUAAACAAGGCCAGACCAAAGAAGGAAAGACGGUUCUUUACUUGGUGUUUGAGUACAUGGAUACAGAGAAGUGUUACGAACAUUUCGUCGUCCUCGGGAAGCUUCUUCUUCUUCAGUGCUACGAUUACUUAAUUGCUUGAAAUUUCUUUGCAAACUCGUUUCUCUGCGAUUAGGUAUUAUAUCUGUUUCAAUUAAUUUGUCCCUUUUCACUUUAGUUUUGUAAUUUGUUUUCGGCAUUUGAUAUCAGUAUCCUGUGUUCUGAUAUGAUGUUCUAUAAAUAUAUAAAUCAGACUGAUGGAUGUUAAACAAGACCAGAACAAAGAAGGAAAGAUGGUUCUUUACUUGGUGUUUGAGUACAUGGAUACUGAUGUCCAGAAAUUUAUUCAUAGUUUCCGCGCAAAGAGACAAAACAUUCCCCCUAAAAUUGUCAAGGUUUGUAGUCGGAAUGUUUGAGCAAUAUGCUCAAAGUAUGUACUCUGUUAAAAAAGAGAAGUCGUGCUGCAUAUAGUUUUGUUUUAGACUUCUGAUUUCUGUGACAUGUGCAUCUUUUCUUAUUUGGUAGGAGUAUAGAACAAUGAAGCACCUUUUUUUUUUCUUCUUUCAAAUCACUCUAAAUAGAGCUCUCUGGACAAGGUUCCACUGCUUUUAGAGAUAAACAGAAGCUCUUAUACUUCUAUCACAGCCGUUUAGCAUAGGUACACUCAAAAUUAGGUGUUAAUUUGUUUCUCUUGCUGCUUGACGAAGGCAACGGAAUAUUUGUCACUUUUCACCACAGAAAUUUUAUCUUGAUACUCAACCUGCUGGUGCAUACUAGCACUUAAAUGAUUGGUUGUAGUUAUAGCAUGGUAUACUUUUCUUUUACAAUAUAAACCAAGGAACUCUAUUUUCCUUCUUCUGAGAUGCUCGUAAGCACUUCACAUGGCACAGUGUUGUGGCUGCAAAUUUUUGGGCUUGAUCAUUCCCUUGUUUUGGCAGGAUAUUCAUAGAUGCAAUCCGACUAGUACUUUCAGGAGUACGCCUCUUCCUCGAGGGCAUUUGCGUUCUCCAUCUUUUUCAUUAAUCCCAUUCACAAUAGAAUUAGGAGUAAGACCUGACUUUCAAAAUUUGUUGACUACUUUGUAGGGAUGGGCAUGCUCUUGGUACCAAUUUAUCUGUUAUGAAAAGGGAUAAUUCAUUUGAUAGGAAACCUUUCUUAUGCCUGUUUACUGAAGAAGGGGAAAAAUGAAAAAUGUGUUACAAUAUUGACAGUUUUAAUGCAUUUAAAGUUCUGCAAUAUUUGUAUGAAACUUGGGCUGCUUUGCUUUCAACAAUCUCUACAAGACUUCUGGUUUUCCUUUGAUUAGCAUGGGACUAAAAACAAUUUUGUAUGGACGACUUUACUUGAACAUGAUCUGUUUUAUAGGCUCAUACCACGGCAUCCUUGAGUUUUAAGGAGACAGGAUUGAAAAAUGGUGGAUGAACCAUGGUCAUUAGACCUAAGUGUGAUUAACAGCUCCCAUGAUUCUCAGGUCUGAGCCGUAGAGGUUCGUUCCGGGAUGGACUAAUGGCUGUCUAACAGGCUCUUUAAAAAAAAUGAGAGGGCUAGGAUUUGGAAUUAUUUGAGUUUACAAAUUCCAGAGGAGAGGAUAAUGUAUAAUCUUAAAAAAAUCUGCAGUUCCUCCUAGAUGCUGGAAUUACCUACAUAAACGUGUUGCUUUAAGAACACUAAUUCCUAGCAAUGUGCCAAUUGUAAAGGGAAAAUUCCCAAAAAGGUGGUUGUUUCCCAAAUAUAAGUGUUCUAACUCAGUAACUUAGCAAAUCAGUAGAGAACUUUUACAGAUAAGAAGUUGUCAGGGAAGUCAAGGUAUAUCAGGUCAUCUGUAUAAUUGAACAAGGUAACAAGGUAACUGGCCUUGGAAACAUGUAAUGGUAACAAGUGUUCAGACUCUACUUAAUAAUUAUCCCUUGAUUGUCACUUUCAUCAUUGAGCGUCGUUAUUGGUUGAAAAAGAUUGAAUUGCUGAAUCUUCAAAAGAUCAAGACAGUUUCCAUAAGGGCAAAAGGGCACCAACGUGUUAAAAUCCAAGCCCCAACUCUUCAACAUUUGCUUUUAUUUUUUAUGCUUCAGAAGAUUCUCCUGACUUGGAUAUUGUUGAAUGUAAAUCUGAAAUCUUUAGAGCUAUCACUUGUGAGGAUAUCUGAUGGAUUUCUCGAGCACAUUAUUUCUAGAUUUCAAUCCCUUGAGAGUUUGACAUUACAUCAUGUUGGGCUGGAAAGGAAAGGUUCAACAUUAGUGGGGAGUCGAUCCCUAAAGGACUUGAAAAUUUGUUCUUAUACAAGCAUAGGAGAAAUUGAUGCUCCAAAUUUGGUGUCACUUGAGUAUGUGGGAUAUCCUAUUCCUGAGCUUAAAAUUGCAGAAGAGUCAAGCCAAUUGAAGCACUCAAAUAUUGAACUUGCUAUUCAUAACAAUUUAAGUGCGGCUUUUUUAUGUAAGUUGAGGAAACUUCUAUCAAAUUUGACCUCUUGGUCUCAACCUUUCCUUUAUUUUUACAAAUGCAAUGAGAUCAAGUAGGAAGAUUUGCAACUGCACCAUAGAGUUGCUACCCCCCUAAUUGGGUGUUUUAAAUAUAAGUAUUAUAAGGUCGUCUGAGGAGUGCCCGACUUUUGUGGAUGCUUUGUAUGGAAUUGUCAUCCUAGGAAACUCAUCCUAACCUCAACUAUUGAAAUGAUUACAUGCUUCAUGGAUCAUUUAAUGUAUAUGAAGAAUUCAGAGUCAUUCUACUUCUCAUGGAAUCAAGCCUUGGCAUAGUCAAUUUAAAGAUGUAAAAGCCACAUGAUUGAUCAAAAAGAUCAGCUUGUGGAACUCAGAAGUAGAGAGGUGGCAGUGAGGAAUCUCAGUGAGUGGAAGCAUUUUUGUUUUGUAUUAGAAUGGUUAGCAGUUAAUUCUAUUGUAAAUUGAAUUCACUUAUUCAUUUAUAAAGUUCAUUAAUUUAUACU